CAAUAGCGUAUAUUAAAGCUGUUGCGGUUAAAAAGCUCGUAGUUGGAUUUCUGUCAAGGACAACUGGUCCGCCCCUCGGGUGAGCACAUAGUUUGGUCUUGGCAUCUUGUUGGAAACUGUUGCUGCACUUGGUUGUGUGGCGCAGUGUCCAGCACUUUCACUUUGAGGAAAUUGGAGUGUUUCAAGCAGGCACAUGCCUUUGGACACAGUAGCAUGGAAUAAUUAGAUUGGGCUUUUGCUCCAACUUGUCGGUUUCUGGAGCUGAGGUGAGAAUUAAUGGGGAUUGUUGGGGGCAUCCGAAUUUAGCCGUCAGGGGUGAAAUUCUUGGAUCUGCUAAAGACGGACAACUGCGAAAGCGUUUGCCCAGGAUGUUUUCAUUGA
Molecule: ribosomal RNA, 381 nt
Filed under: uncultured eukaryote
Lineage: Eukaryota
Description: partial 18S ribosomal RNA
Rfam family: Eukaryotic small subunit ribosomal RNA
Source: RNAcentral